RNAcentral lists this ribosomal RNA (450 nucleotides) under uncultured bacterium. RNAcentral describes it as "partial 16S ribosomal RNA". It matches the Rfam family "Bacterial small subunit ribosomal RNA", at positions 354 to 796 of the family's 1533-position model. The record is from RNAcentral.
GUGGGGAAUAUUGGACAAUGGGCGAAAGCCUGAUCCAGCCAUGCCGCGUGUGUGAAGAAGGUCUUCGGAUUGUAAAGCACUUUAAGUUGGGAGGAAGGGCAGUAAGUUAAUACCUUGCUGUUUUGACGUUACCGCCAGAAUAAGCACCGGCUAACUUCGUGCCAGCAGCCGCGGUAAUACGAAGGGUGCAAGCGUUAAUCGGAAUUACUGGGCGUAAAGCGCGCGUAGGUGGUUUUGUAAGUUGGAGGUGAAAUCCCCGGGCUCAACCUGGGAACUGCCUCCAAAACUGCAUGACUAGAGUACGGUAGAGGGUAGUGGAAUUUCCUGUGUAGCGGUGAAAUGCGUAGAUAUAGGAAGGAACACCAGUGGCGAAGGCGACUACCUGGACUGAUACUGACACUGAGGUGCGAAAGCGUGGGGAGCAAACAGGAUUAGAUACCCGGGUAGUCC